RNAcentral lists this ribosomal RNA (496 nucleotides) under uncultured bacterium. RNAcentral describes it as "partial 16S ribosomal RNA". It matches the Rfam family "Bacterial small subunit ribosomal RNA", at positions 29 to 507 of the family's 1533-position model. The record is from RNAcentral.
AUGAACGCUGGCGGCGUGCCUAAUACAUGCAAGUCGAGCGCACAGACGAGGAGCUUGCUCCUCUGACGUUAGCGGCGGACGGGUGAGUAACACGUAGAUAACCUACCUAUAAGACUGGGAUAACUUCGGGAAACCGGAGCUAAUACCGGAUAAUAUAUUGAACCGCAUGGUUCAAUAGUGAAAGACGGUUUUGCUGUCACUUAUAGAUGGAUCCGCGCCGCAUUAGCUAGUUGGUAAGGUAACGGCUUACCAAGGCAACGAUGCGUAGCCGACCUGAGAGGGUGAUCGGCCACACUGGAACUGAGACACGGUCCAGACUCCUACGGGAGGCAGCAGUAGGGAAUCUUCCGCAAUGGGCGAAAGCCUGACGGAGCAACGCCGCGUGAGUGAUGAAGGUCUUCGGAUCGUAAAACUCUGUUAUUAGGGAAGAACAAAUGUGUAAGUAACUAUGCACGUCUUGACGGUACCUAAUCAGAAAGCCACGGCUAACUACGUG